RNAcentral lists this ribosomal RNA (687 nucleotides) under Staphylococcus aureus. Its description in RNAcentral is "bacterial SSU rRNA". It matches the Rfam family "Bacterial small subunit ribosomal RNA", at positions 17 to 686 of the family's 1533-position model. Lineage: Bacteria; Bacillati; Bacillota; Bacilli; Caryophanales; Staphylococcaceae. The record is from RNAcentral.
UCCUGGCUCAGGAUGAACGCUGGCGGCGUGCCUAAUACAUGCAAGUCGAGCGAACGGACGAGAAGCUUGCUUCUCUGAUGUUAGCGGCGGACGGGUGAGUAACACGUGGAUAACCUACCUAUAAGACUGGGAUAACUUCGGGAAACCGGAGCUAAUACCGGAUAAUAUUUUGAACCGCAUGGUUCAAAAGUGAAAGACGGUCUUGCUGUCACUUAUAGAUGGAUCCGCGCUGCAUUAGCUAGUUGGUAAGGUAACGGCUUACCAAGGCAACGAUGCAUAGCCGACCUGAGAGGGUGAUCGGCCACACUGGAACUGAGACACGGUCCAGACUCCUACGGGAGGCAGCAGUAGGGAAUCUUCCGCAAUGGGCGAAAGCCUGACGGAGCAACGCCGCGUGAGUGAUGAAGGUCUUCGGAUCGUAAAACUCUGUUAUUAGGGAAGAACAUAUGUGUAAGUAACUGUGCACAUCUUGACGGUACCUAAUCAGAAAGCCACGGCUAACUACGUGCCAGCAGCCGCGGUAAUACGUAGGUGGCAAGCGUUAUCCGGAAUUAUUGGGCGUAAAGCGCGCGUAGGCGGUUUUUUAAGUCUGAUGUGAAAGCCCACGGCUCAACCGUGGAGGGUCAUUGGAAACUGGAAAACUUGAGUGCAGAAGAGGAAAGUGGAAUUCCAUGUGUAGCGGUGAAA